RNAcentral lists this non-coding RNA (76 nucleotides) under Marinomonas aquimarina. Lineage: Bacteria; Pseudomonadati; Pseudomonadota; Gammaproteobacteria; Oceanospirillales; Oceanospirillaceae. The record is from RNAcentral.
CUGCGCCACAGCGUCGAUUUGUUUCGGCUUGCGGACGCUAUAUAAAAUCAGCUAAACAGAAGCAGGAUAGCCUGUU